ACUGCAUCCAUAGUUUGAAGUUAAAAUGACUGCAUCCAUAGUUUGAAGUUAAAAUGAUAUAGUUUGCUCUGACUUAGAGAAUGUUGACUGAACUUGAUAGCUGUUUCAUUUUUAGAAAGGCCUGUCCCACAGUAAUACUGAUAUUUUCCCCCCAGUUUUAUUGAAAUGUAGUUGACAUACAUCAAUGAACAAACCUAAGGCAUAUAGCACAAUUAUUUGACUUACAUAUAUUGUGAAAUGAUUAACGCUAUGUUUAGUUAGCAUCCAUCACCCAAUGUGAUAAAAAGAAAGCAUGAAGAAAGAAAAAAAAAAAUGAAUUUUCCUUCGGAUAAGAAGUAUAGGAUGUGCUCUCCAUGCUUUUCACAUAUAGGAAGCAGCUUAACAAAGUAUUGGCCAUUAAUAUGAACCAAAAGAAGCUAUUAAACUUCCACAAACCUGGUUCCCAACUCAUAUAUUCUAAAAAGUGGAAUCUUCAGCUAUUUACUCACAUAAAACCUAUGUAAAUGCAUGCAGUAAAGACCCCCUGGGAGAUUUAUAUAACAACAUUUAUAAAGUCAGUUUUAGAAAGACAGAACAUGAUUUGUAUUUACUGCUUUGAAAUUUUAACCUGGGGAGUAUUUCCCUACUCUCCAUUAGAAGAAUGAUCCUAGAAACACAACUAGUCUGAAAUACUAAAUAUUGGAAGCAUCACCAGGAUUCCGGGAGACAGGAAAUGGGAAGAUAAUAGAGUGAUGGUAUGUUCAGAAAUAAAAGGGACUAUAGAGGUUUUCUAAAAUCUAUUUUAAAUUCUAACUCUUCACAUUUUUUUUUCCAGAGAAGAGUACAAUUCCAGAAAGAAAAAAAAUUUAAUAAAAGAUUCAUAAUCAGAAAGACACUUAUAGAAAUUUCAUGUCGGUGUAUUCUAAAUAAAUUAUCUUUAUUAUAAAUUAUAAACAGUUCCCGUGUUGGAAUAUCCCCAAUCAAUCCAUAGAACUCAUGAGACUAUCUGGAAGAUAGUGCUAUUUUUCUCUUUUUAUGGAAUGUGAUUAAAAUGUGUAACUAGUGAAAACAAUAUUACUUCAGUAGUUUGCACAUAUAAACCCCCAUUUCCACAUUCCUAAUUUUGUGUGUGUACAGCUUAGAUUAUUUACUUGGUAAACAUAUGCCAAAAUUUUUCAUUUGGAAUUUCUCCUCUCUUUAUAUCUUUAUGUUUGACACUCAUGCUGAAAUGAUCCUGGGGUGUUUUAUUUUAUUUAUUACUAUUUUUUUUCAUGUAUUCUGAGAUUUGUAGGCCACACCAGUUAUUCGAACCAAAUUAAGGUCAAUAAGUUCCUUCCAUUACAUGUGACACAUGGAAGGUGGGAACUUGAUCUUUUUGUAUUUAGAAUUGGUAGCUUUGUUUUUUGUUUGUUUUGUUUUUUUGUCUUUUUACCUUUUCUAGGGCAGCUCCUGCGGCCUGUGGAGUUCCCAGGCUAGGGGUCUAAUCAGAGCUGCAGCCACUGGUCUACACCACAGAUGGGAUCUGAGCCACAUCUGUGAUCUACACCACAGCUCUCGGCAACGCCGGAUCAUUAACCCACUGAGCAAGGCCAGGGAUCGAACCCACAAACUCAUGGUUCCUAGUCGGAUUCGUUAACCACUGCGCCACGAUGGGAACUCUUAGAAUUGCAAAGCAUGAAAAUGUAAAGACAGAGAGUGAGAGUCUUACGGCACACAUUGGAGUCAAGUUAGUUCCAUCCUUAAAUUUCCCAGUUACUGAGCAAAUGAAAUCUACCAUUUUACUCAAAGUUGAGAAUUAUUUUUAUCCUAUGCAACUAGAAAUAUACUGUGGCUCCUGUAAAUACUCAGACUAAGAGAACACAUUAAUUUAUGAAUUAUAUAUAUAAACUCCAAUCUAUUGCAGUAUGCUAAGGCAAAUGUAUGAAUGAGGAAACAACUGGUAACAUUUCCACAUUGUAUGACUUUUAUUUUUUUUUUCAUGAUAGCCUCUUCUGGUAAGUGACCUGUAGGAAUGAAGCAAAGUGUCAGUAUCAAUCAAUACUUCAAUAUUAGGAAAACUUCAUCAUGUUCUUGUUUUUUAAAUAAAACUUUACCUUUUUUUUUUCUUUUCGCACACAAAUGGGUCAUUUUGUGCUUAGCCAACUUUGAAAACUAUUGUGUAAUAAUAUAUUUCCUUAAACUUUUACAAUAAAAAAUACAUUUUUAUUUUUAGUUUUUGUAUAUCACUCAACAUUUCCUUCAACUAUUUCAAAAUCUGCACUAGAUUUUAAAAUCGAUUUCCUCUAAAUAUGUUUCAGUUUUCCAUUAGAACAAAUAAGACACCCCUAAUAAUCAAGUAUAAAUAUGUUUAUAGAAAAUACCCCUGGAGUUCAUCAAAGAUAUUGGCCUGGAAGUUCCCCGGUGGCUCAGUAGGUUAAGUGGGUUAAGGAUCCAGUGUUGUUACUGCUGUGGCUUAGGUCAUUCUUGUGGCACAGGUUCAGUCCCUGGCCUGGGAACUUCUGCAUGCUGUGGGUGCAGCCAAAAAAAAAAAAAAAAA
This 2515-nucleotide long non-coding RNA is filed under the name Sus scrofa (pig). RNAcentral's name for it is "lncRNA (ENSSSCG00030046573.1)". The record is from RNAcentral. Lineage: Eukaryota; Metazoa; Chordata; Mammalia; Artiodactyla; Suidae.